This 417-nucleotide ribosomal RNA is filed under the name uncultured eukaryote. Its description in RNAcentral is "SSU rRNA". It matches the Rfam family "Eukaryotic small subunit ribosomal RNA", at positions 592 to 1018 of the family's 1831-position model. The record is from RNAcentral.
CAAUAGCGUAUAUUAAAGUUGUUGCAGUUAAAAAGCUCGUAGUUGGAUUUCGGGGCCUGGACGGCUGUCACCCACUGGGUAGGCGUGCCGUCCGGGUCCUUUACUUCCGGGGACGGCGUCACGAUUAAUUUUGGGGCGUUCGGACGCGGAUCGUUUACUUUGAAAAAUUAGAGUGUUCAAAGCAGGCCUUCGCUUGAAUACAUUAGCAUGGAAUAAUGGAAUAGGACUCUGGGCCUAUUUUGUUGGUUUCUGGGACUAGAGUAAUGAUUAAUAGGGACAGUUGGGGGCGUUCAUAUUCCGAUGUCAGAGGUGAAAUUCUUGGAUUUUCGGAAGAUGAACUUCUGCGAAAGCAUUCGCCAAGGAUGUUUUCAUUAAUCAAGAACGAAAGUUAGGGGAUCGAAGACGAUCAGAUACCGU